AUUGAACGCUGGCGGCAGGCUUAACACAUGCAAGUCGAACGAGUGGCGGACGGGUGAGUAAUGCUUGGGAAUCUAGCUUAUGGAGGGGGAUAACUACUGGAAACUGUAUCUAAUACCCCGUACCAUAGGAUGAGCCCAAGUGGGAUUAGGUAGUUGGUGGGGUAAAGGCUCACAAAGCCGACGAUCUCUAGCUGGUCUGAUAGGAUGACCAGCCAAACUGGGACUGAGACACGGCCAAGACUCCUACGGGAGGAAGCAGUGGGGAAUAUUGCGAAAUGGGGGAAACCUGAGACAGCAAUGCCGCGUGAAUGAAGAAGGCCUUCGGGUUGUAAAGUUCUUUAGGUAGCGAGGCGUUAACUACAGAAGAAGCACCGGCUAACUACGUGCCAGCAGCCGCGGUAAUAC
RNAcentral lists this ribosomal RNA (405 nucleotides) under uncultured bacterium. RNAcentral describes it as "partial 16S ribosomal RNA". It matches the Rfam family "Bacterial small subunit ribosomal RNA", at positions 30 to 526 of the family's 1533-position model. The record is from RNAcentral.